Molecule: ribosomal RNA, 492 nt
Filed under: uncultured bacterium
Lineage: Bacteria
Description: partial 16S ribosomal RNA
Rfam family: Bacterial small subunit ribosomal RNA
Source: RNAcentral
AUUGAACGCUGGCGGCAUGCCUUACACAUGCAAGUCGAACGGCAACACACCAUGAGCUGCCGCCUACUGGUGACCGGGUGCGGAAGGCAGCGGAACACAUCGGAAUCUGGUGUUUCAUGGGGGAUAACGUAUGCUAACUUACGCUAAUACCUCAGGAGACCUGCGGGUGAAAGCAGGGCAUCUUGCGGCCGUGCGCGAUGGAGGCAGCCGAUGUCGGAUUAGGUAGUUGGUGGGGUAAAGGCCCACCAAGGCGACGAUCCGUAGCUGGUCUGAGAGGAUGAUCAGCCACACUGGGACUGAGACACGGUCCAGACUCCUACGGGAGGCAGCAGUGGGGAAUUUUGGACAAUGGGCGCAAGCCUGAUCCAGCCAUACCGCGUGGGGGAAGAAGGCCUUCGGGUUGUAAACUGCUUUUGUUCGGAAAGAAAAGCCGUCGGUUAAUACAGGGGUGUCAUGACGGUACCGAAAGAAUAAGCACCGGCUAACUUCGUG